UCUACCAAUCUGUCCACUCAGACUCCAUGUUAAAGAGCUAAGCAGGGUUGAGCCUGGUCAGUACCUGGAUGGGAGACCUCCUGGGAAAACUAGGUUGCUGUUGGAA
Molecule: ribosomal RNA, 106 nt
Organism: Sinocyclocheilus grahami
Lineage: Eukaryota; Metazoa; Chordata; Actinopteri; Cypriniformes; Cyprinidae
Source: Ensembl